AUUAUACUCCCUCCGUCCUAAAUAGGAUGUCUGAAAUUUGUUUAAAUUUGGAUGUUUGUAGACACUAAAACAUGUUUAGAUACAUCCAUAUUUCGAAAAAUUUGCGACAUCCUUUUUAGGAUGGAGUAUAUAUUUU
Non-coding RNA from Brachypodium distachyon (stiff brome), 136 nucleotides. Lineage: Eukaryota; Viridiplantae; Streptophyta; Magnoliopsida; Poales; Poaceae. The record is from Rfam.